Zingiber officinale is the source of this 92-nucleotide small nucleolar RNA. RefSeq annotates it as small nucleolar RNA snoR1. The record is from RefSeq and is a predicted model, not a curated record. The transcript has a single exon. NCBI's taxonomy places the organism in Eukaryota, Viridiplantae, Streptophyta, Magnoliopsida, Zingiberales, Zingiberaceae.
GGCCAUGAUGAAUAAUGCUUUCUUCUGACACCUCUUGUUUGAGAAGGGGCUUUAUGUCUCUUCCUUGAGCAGAUUUAGCACCGAACUGAGCC